UUCAGAUUGCAGGCUGCAACUCGCCUGCAUGAAGUCGGAAUUGCUAGUAAUCGUAGGUCAGCAUACUACGGUGAAUACGUUCCCGGGCCUUGUACACACCGCCCGUCAAACCAUGAGAGUUGGCAACACCCGAAGUCGGUAGUCUAACCGCAAGGAGGACGCCGCCGAAGGUGGGGUUGAUGAUUAGGGUUAAGUCGUAACAAGGUAGC
RNAcentral lists this ribosomal RNA (209 nucleotides) under uncultured bacterium. RNAcentral describes it as "partial 16S ribosomal RNA". It matches the Rfam family "Bacterial small subunit ribosomal RNA", at positions 1292 to 1500 of the family's 1533-position model. The record is from RNAcentral.